AUUCGCUGACUUCAUUUUGUAUCUUAUUUGAAUUAUUUGAGAACCCCUUCAAACCCCUCCCUUUGAUAACCCUAAAAUUUUGCUCUCCUCUUUUCUUGCAUUGUUACUAACGCAAGGUACUUUCCCCAGAUUCCUCUGUUUUCUCCAUGUUUUAUUUGUUUCUUUUUAUCUGUUGUUAGCUGAGUGUGUUUGCUUUCACUCUUCUUCCCAUAUUGUGUUAGUUGAUUAUUUUUGUGAAAUUUCAUUAAAGCUUUAUUGUUUUUUUUUUGUGCUAUUCACAUAUCACAGUUAUUCUCCGUUUCGUUGUCUAACAUGUUUGCUCGGUCAACAGUCGAAGAUCUGUCAGUUUCGUUUUUAUCGACUAUAUAAUUGACUCAGUUUUCAUUCGCAUAAAUUCUUGUUCCCAUUCAUUCUUUUACAAAGUAGAUUACUAUUUAGGGUUUCUGAUUUUACUGUUUCUCUCAAACUUCCUUCGCAGGAAUUUUCUUUUUCGUUGAGUUGGGGACCAAAACCCUAGCUUUCACUUUCAGCUUCAAAACCCCAUCUUUUUUCAAAUCCAAGUAAUUUUGAGAAUCAGCAGUGAUUGGCUGUGGUAGAUUCCACGGUUCUUGGUGUUUCUUUGAUUAAUUCAUCGUUGAGUUGGGAACCAAAACCCUAGCUUUCACUUUCAGCUUCAAAACCCCAUCUUUUUUCAAACCCAAGUAACUUUGAGAAUCAGCAGUGAUUGGCUGUGGUAGAUUCCACGGUUCUUGGUGUUUCUUUGAUUAAUUCAGACACAGAGAGGGAGCAGGUUCUUCAACACUUUGAUAAAUCUGAGCCUCCAAAUUCCGAUUUUUCCUACUCCCCACUCAAAAGGUUUUGGUUAUUUUGACCUGAAAAUGGUGAAGUUCAGUUUAUAAUCCAACUUUGAAUUCUUACUUUUCGCCUGCGACCCCUGCUCUUCUAUUUUCUUCCUAUUCUCUCUUCUACUUUUUGUGGGUGUGUUCUGUUUUCUUGGACAGGUGCCUUAUUUUUCCGGCGAGGAUUUACGGCAGCUACAUUACUUCCGGCGACCCCCGUUCAGACUUUUGGCAGGACGCAAAAGAACUACAUGUUCCGAUAAACUUCAGGAAAACUUACCCCAGGUACUAGUCGCGGCAGCGUGGCCAGUUCGCGGCGUUUGGGAGUGAAGAGCUAAGCAACACCGGCUGGGACGUGCAAGAGUCGGUAGCAGUUGACCUUGGGCGCAUCAAAGCCUACUUUCAGGUUUUUCCACCGGGAGUUGGUACCUCCCGCUCUCUU
RNAcentral lists this long non-coding RNA (1281 nucleotides) under Nicotiana benthamiana. Its description in RNAcentral is "long non-coding RNA (NBEN_LNC018924)". Lineage: Eukaryota; Viridiplantae; Streptophyta; Magnoliopsida; Solanales; Solanaceae. The record is from RNAcentral.